GCAUUGGUGGUUCAGUGGUAGAAUUUUUGCCUUCCAUGCAGGAGGCUUGAGUUCAAUUCCCAGCCAAUGCA
RNAcentral lists this transfer RNA (71 nucleotides) under Loxodonta africana (African savanna elephant). It matches the Rfam family "tRNA". From Rfam's summary of the family: Transfer RNA (tRNA) molecules are approximately 80 nucleotides in length. Their secondary structure includes four short double-helical elements and three loops (D, anti-codon, and T loops). Further hydrogen bonds mediate the characteristic L-shaped molecular structure. tRNAs have two regions of fundamental functional importance: the anti-codon, which is responsible for specific mRNA codon recognition, and the 3' end, to which the tRNAs corresponding amino acid is attached (by aminoacyl-tRNA synthetases). tRNAs cope with the degeneracy of the genetic code in two manners: having more than one tRNA (with a specific anti-codon) for a particular amino acid; and 'wobble' base-pairing, i.e. permitting non-standard base-pairing at the 3rd anti-codon position. The record is from Rfam by way of RNAcentral. Lineage: Eukaryota; Metazoa; Chordata; Mammalia; Proboscidea; Elephantidae.